RNAcentral lists this ribosomal RNA (235 nucleotides) under uncultured bacterium. Its description in RNAcentral is "partial 16S ribosomal RNA". It matches the Rfam family "Bacterial small subunit ribosomal RNA", at positions 99 to 334 of the family's 1533-position model. The record is from RNAcentral.
CGCACGGGUGAGUAACACGUAUCCAACCUGCCGUCUACUCUUGGACAGCCUUCUGAAAGGAAGAUUAAUACAAGAUGGCAUCAUGAGUCCGCAUGUUCACAUGAUUAAAGGUAUUCCGGUAGACGAUGGGGAUGCGUUCCAUUAGAUAGUAGGCGGGGUAACGGCCCACCUAGUCUUCGAUGGAUAGGGGUUCUGAGAGGAAGGUCCCCCACAUUGGAACCGAGACACGGUCCAA